Piliocolobus tephrosceles (Ugandan red Colobus) is the source of this 885-nucleotide long non-coding RNA. RefSeq lists it as uncharacterized. The transcript has 3 exons. The record is from RefSeq and is a predicted model, not a curated record. Lineage: Eukaryota; Metazoa; Chordata; Mammalia; Primates; Cercopithecidae.
GGCAAUGGGCUGCCAUGUUGUGAGCUGCCUCAUGGGGAAGAGGUUCAUAUGGGAGGAACUGAGGGAGUCCUCCAGAAAACAGCCAGUGAAGAACUGAGACCCUCAGUCCAACAGCCUGUGAGGAACUCAAUCCUGCUGACAACCAUAUGAAUGAGCUUGGAAGCAGGUCCUUCCCCAGUGAAGCCUUCAUGUGAGACUGCAGCCCACUUGACACUUUGAUUUGUAGCCUUGUGACAGACCCCAAGCCAGAGGAGCCAGAGACCUAAAGGUAUGAGAGGGACAAGGAAAGAGGGUGGUGAUCCUGUUGCCCUUGUGGGUAGAACCGCGGAGGCAGUGGUGCAGUUCUCAACCAUGACCACAAGGUGGAGUCCGUAGUAAGCGGAAAUGGUUUACUCUGGGUGGAAGGGGACGCGGCAGGAUCCUGGAGCAGAUUCGGUGGCAGUCGCAGAACCCUCCGUCCAGUUCUGCAGGAACCAUCAGUAUAAAUUCAGAAUGUAUUUCUUGACACUGUCCAUGGAAAAGACCUAGAAACAGUGACCAACCCUAUAAUAAUGAGCACCCCGAGUCUCUAGACUGUGGUCUCAUGUGACCAUUUCCCACUAAAAGGAACCAGGACUAUUUGGAGAAAUCACUGGGUCCAGGUCUUGGGCAGGAAACAUCUGAGAUGCACGUGGAAGAACUUGUCAUACCACAGCACUCCGAAGCUUUCAGUGAAAACUGAGGUCAUGCUAAAAGGAUUCGGGAGCUGACUUGACUGACCAAAGAUGGGGUGAUUUCAACAUCAACAUGGAUAAAAACUGCAAGGGAUUAAAACACAUCAAAUAUAUUUAGAGCUAUGAGUUAAUAAUAUUGCUAAAAAGAAAUGUGUUUCUUCUGUUGGAGGAU